AUGGAUCUAACCUAUGAUCCAGGCCAUGGAAAGGUCCCACAUUGGGAUUUCAAUCCUGGCCUUGUGGUUGCAGAUCAGGUACGUCGAAGAUUUGGAGGAAUGGUCCAUUUUUCUCCUUCUCGCUCAAUGAAGGGGUUUUUCUUGGUGGUCUCUUUCUCCUCGGCAUCCUUCCCUCUCUCUGAAGAUUCUGUGGGAGUGGCCCUUCAAUGUUGCAUUGGA
RNAcentral lists this ribosomal RNA (219 nucleotides) under Triticum aestivum (bread wheat). Its description in RNAcentral is "partial small subunit ribosomal RNA". Lineage: Eukaryota; Viridiplantae; Streptophyta; Magnoliopsida; Poales; Poaceae. The record is from RNAcentral.